GCGGAUGUGAUGGAAUUGGUAGACAUGCAAGAUUUAGGUUCUUGUGCUUCGGCGUGCAGGUUCGAGUCCUGUUAUCCGCA
This 80-nucleotide transfer RNA is filed under the name Lachnospiraceae bacterium. RNAcentral describes it as "tRNA-Leu". It matches the Rfam family "tRNA". From Rfam's summary of the family: Transfer RNA (tRNA) molecules are approximately 80 nucleotides in length. Lineage: Bacteria; Bacillati; Bacillota; Clostridia; Lachnospirales; Lachnospiraceae. The record is from RNAcentral.